ACCGCUUUGCUAGCUAAAACACUAGCACAUAUUUACUUUAAUUUCAAUUCAGGUUAGAAUUCUUUUUGUGUGCGUAACACAGACUUUCUCUGCGCAGAGAUCGUGCAAACAGUGCGCAAUUGCACACGUGCGCAGCUUAGAGGGAACAUUGGUCAAGACCCUAAAAAUAGUGAAUAUUGAGAUAGUUGCGGAUUUGUUCCCUGCACUUGUUAUUUUCCAUAUAAAAGUAUUUAAUUUGUCACCAGAAGAAAACAUUUGGGAAGAUAGGCAAUUAAACUGCAUUUUCUAUUUAGUGAAAAAAUGGUUCCAUAAGGACAGAACAAGGGAACAACAACUUAAUUUCCCAUUGCUGAAUAAGAGUGAGAUAAGGCGAUGACCUACAGAAACAUGGAAUUGUUAGAGUUGGUAUACAUUUAGCUGUUGAAGGGGGAAAAUAAAUCAAUGUCACUUUUUUGUUUAUUUUUUGUUUUUGCUUUUUUCUUUUUUUUACUUAGUGUAUAGUUGUAUAAUAACUGAUUUUAAUUCCUAUAAAUUAGCUUGCCCAGGUUUGAAACAUCUCUUUCACAUAACACUUCAUAUUUGUCUUCUGCUAUCUGUAAAGAGCUGGUGUCAACCAGUUUUUGUUUACUACUGUAGAUUUAUUGGCUUAAUGCACAACUUGAUUUUUAAUGACAGUACGUGGAAAAAUGUAGGUAAUAUUUCAUAACUGAUGUAAACAAAUGAUCAGUUAUUACUUUAAGUAUUACUUAUGAUAUGUAAGUAUUUGAAAGGUAACCCAUCAGAAAGUGGUCAAAAUGAAAACACCUUCUCAGUCCCAGCUUAAAAACAAUAUAACUGUCAGACCAAGCUUUGAAUAACAACAGGUUUCAAACAUGAGUCAAGCAUGGCUUUCUACUAACAUACAAUGUAUAAAACUGUUAACUUUGGAACUUGAAAAUCUAUUGUGUUCUUAUGUGUUCUGCUCUCAAACAGAAAUAGUGUGUGGUAUGAAAUUCCUUGCUUAACUGAAAUCGUCAUUGCAAAUUGCAUGUUGGCCAAAUAUAGAAAAAUGUAGAAGAAUAUACAAUGUAGUCUGGUGGAAUGGCCAGGAAUCCUCUAUAAAUCUGUAGUUUGAUGGGGUUUUUUAAUGAGGGAUAGUGACCUGUAACCAUCGGGAGCUACUACACUGCAUUGUUUUAUCUGAAGAGACAAUAUUAUGUUCCUGAAAUAUCUG
Astatotilapia calliptera (eastern happy) is the source of this 1213-nucleotide long non-coding RNA. NCBI's taxonomy places the organism in Eukaryota, Metazoa, Chordata, Actinopteri, Cichliformes, Cichlidae. The record is from Ensembl.